Taenia asiatica is the source of this 82-nucleotide non-coding RNA. Lineage: Eukaryota; Metazoa; Platyhelminthes; Cestoda; Cyclophyllidea; Taeniidae. The record is from Rfam.
GUCGCGAUGGCCGAGUGGUUAAGGCGAUGGACUAGAAAUCCCUUAAGGAUUCCCAGCGCAGGUUCAAACCCUGCUUGCGACG